This 494-nucleotide ribosomal RNA is filed under the name Metarhizium anisopliae. Its description in RNAcentral is "partial 18S ribosomal RNA". The stretch from base 138 to 290 matches the Rfam family "5.8S ribosomal RNA". The record is from RNAcentral. Lineage: Eukaryota; Fungi; Ascomycota; Sordariomycetes; Hypocreales; Clavicipitaceae.
CGAGUUAUCCAACUCCCAACCCCUGUGAAUUAUACCUUUAAUUGUUGCUUCGGCGGGACUUCGCGCCCGCCGGGGACCCAAACCUUCUGAAUUUUUUAAUAAGUAUCUUCUGAGUGGUUAAAAAAAAAAUGAAUCAAAACUUUCAACAACGGAUCUCUUGGUUCUGGCAUCGAUGAAGAACGCAGCGAAAUGCGAUAAGUAAUGUGAAUUGCAGAAUUCAGUGAAUCAUCGAUCUUUGAACGCACAUUGCGCCCGUCAGUAUUCUGGCGGGCAUGCCUGUUCGAGCGUCAUUACGCCCCUCAAGUCCCCUGUGGACUUGGUGUUGGCCAUCGGCGAGGCUGGUUAUAUGCUAUUACAGCCGUCCCUUAAAUUAAUUGGCGGUCUCGCCGUGGCCCUCCUCUGCCAGUAGUAAAGCACUCGCAACAGGAGCCGGCGGUCCACUGCCGUAAAACCCCCCAACUAAAUAUAUGCAUAGUUGACCUCGAAAAUCGGAC